Molecule: ribosomal RNA, 449 nt
Filed under: uncultured bacterium
Lineage: Bacteria
Description: bacterial SSU rRNA
Rfam family: Bacterial small subunit ribosomal RNA
Source: RNAcentral
CCAGACUCCUACGGGAGGCAGCAGUGGGGAAUAUUGGGCAAUGGGCGAAAGCCUGACCCAGCGACGCCGCGUGAGGGAAGAAGGUCUUCGGAUUGUAAACCUCUUUCAGCAGGGAAGAAGAAAGUGACGGUACCUGCAGAAGAAGUCACGGCUAACUACGUGCCAGCAGCCGCGGUAAUACGUAGGUGGCAAGCGUUGUCCGGAUUUACUGGGUGUAAAGGGCGUGUAGCCGGGUUGACAAGUCAGAUGUGAAAUCCUGCGGCUUAACCGCAGAACUGCAUUUGAAACUGUUGAUCUUGAGUACUGGAGAGGCAGACGGAAUUCCUAGUGUAGCGGUGAAAUGCGUAGAUAUUAGGAGGAACACCAGUGGCGAAGGCGGUCUGCUGGACAGCAACUGACGGUGAGGCGCGAAAGCGUGGGGAGCAAACAGGAUUAGAUACCCCUGUAAC